GAUGAACGCUGGCGGCGUGCCUAAUACAUGCAAGUCGAGCGAACGGACGAGAAGCUUGCUUUUCUGAUGUUAGCGGCGGACGGGUGAGUAACACGUGGAUAACCUACCUAUAAGACUGGGAUAACUUCGGGAAACCGGAGCUAAUACCGGAUAAUAUUUUGAACCGCAUGGUUCAAAAGUGAAAGACGGUCUUGCUGUCACUUAUAGAUGGAUCCGCGCUGCAUUAGCUAGUUGGUAAGGUAACGGCUUACCAAGGCAACGAUGCAUAGCCGACCUGAGAGGGUGAUCGGCCACACUGGAACUGAGACACGGUCCAGACUCCUACGGGAGGCAGCAGUAGGGAAUCUUCCGCAAUGGGGCGAAGCCUGACGGAGCAACGCCGCGUGAGUGAUGAAAGUCUUCGGAUCGUAAAACUCUGUUAUUAGGGAAGAACAUAUGUGUAAGUAACUGUGCACAUCUUGACGGUACCUAAUCAGAAAGCCACGGCUAACUACGUGCCAGCAGCCGCGGUAAUACGUAGGUGGCAAGCGUUAUCCGGAAUUAUUGGGCGUAAAGCGCGCGUAGGCGGUUUUUUAGUCUGAUGUGAAAGCCCACGGCUCAACCGUGGAGGGUCAUUGGAAACUGGAAAACUUGAGUGCAGAAGAGGAAAGUGGAAUUCCAUGUGUAGCGGUGAAAUGCGCAGAGAUAUGGAGGAACACCAGUGGCGAAGGCGACUUUCUGGUCUGUAACUGACGCUGAUGUGCGAAAGCGUGGGGAUCAAACAGGAUUAGAUACCCUGGUAGUCCACGCCGUAAACGAUGAGUGCUAAGUGUUAGGGGGUUUCCGCCCCUUAGUGCUGCAGCUAACGCAUUAAGCACUCCGCCUGGGGAGUACGACCGCAAGGUUGAAACUCAAAGGAAUUGACGGGGACCCGCACAAGCGGUGGAGCAUGUGGUUUAAUUCGAAGCAACGCGAAGAACCUUACCAAAUCUUGACAUCCUUUGACAACUCUAGAGAUAGAGCCUUCCCCUUCGGGGGACAAAGUGACAGGUGGUGCAUGGUUGUCGUCAGCUCGUGUCGUGAGAUGUUGGGUUAAGUCCCGCAACGAGCGCAACCCUUAAGCUUAGUUGCCAUCAUUAAGUUGGGCACUCUAAGUUGACUGCCGGUGACAAACCGGAGGAAGGUGGGGAUGACGUCAAAUCAUCAUGCCCCUUAUGAUUUGGGCUACACACGUGCUACAAUGGACAAUACAAAGGGCAGCGAAACCGCGAGGUCAAGCAAAUCCCAUAAAGUUGUUCUCAGUUCGGAUUGUAGUCUGCAACUCGACUACAUGAAGCUGGAAUCGCUAGUAAUCGUAGAUCAGCAUGCUACGGUGAAUACGUUCCCGGGUCU
RNAcentral lists this ribosomal RNA (1371 nucleotides) under uncultured bacterium. Its description in RNAcentral is "bacterial SSU rRNA". It matches the Rfam family "Bacterial small subunit ribosomal RNA", at positions 28 to 1381 of the family's 1533-position model. The record is from RNAcentral.